CACCAAGGCGAUGAUGCAUAGCCGGGCUGAGAGGCUGAACGGCCACAUUGGGACUGAGACACGGCCCAUACUCCUACGGGAGGCAGCAGUAGGGAAUUUUCGGCAAUGGGGGAAACCCUGACCGAGCAACGCCGCGUGAGUGAUGAAGGUCUUCGGAUUGUAAAGCUCUGUUGUAAGGGAAGAGUGAAUUGGAUAGAAUCCGAUUGUGACGGUACCUUACCAGAAAGCUACGGCUAACUACGUGCCAGCAGCCGCGGUAAUACGUAGGUAGCGAGCGUUAUCCGGAAUUAUUGGGCGUAAAGGGUGCGUAGGCGGCUUGUUAAGUUUAAGGUGAAAGAAUGGGGCUCAACCCCAUAAAGCCUUAGAUACUGGCAAGCUAGAGUACUGGAGAGGGUAGUGGAAUUCCAUGUGUAGCGGUAAAAUGCGUAGAUAUAUGGAGGAACACCGGUGGCGAAGGCGGCUACCUAGACAGAGACUGACGCUGAGGCACGAAAGCGUGGGGAGCAAAUAGGAUUAGAUACCCUAGUAGUCCACGCCGUAAACGAUGAAUGCUAGAUAUCGGGGCAACUCGGUGUCGAAACUAACGCGAUAAGCAUUCCGCCUGUGGAGUAUGCACGCAAGUGUGAAACAUAAAGGAAUUGACGGGGGCCCGCACAAGCGGUGGAGUAUGUGGUUUAAUUCGACGCAACGCGAAGAACCUUACCAGGCCUUGACAUCCCUUGCAAAACUCUAGAGAUAGAGCAGAGGUUAUCAAGGUGACAGGUGGUGCAUGGUUGUCGUCAGCUCGUGUCGUGAGAUGUUGGGUUAAGUCCCGCAACGAGCGCAACCCUUGUCUUCAGUUACCAUCAUUAAGUUGGGGACUCUGGAGAGACUGCCGGUGAUAAACCGGAGGAAGGUGGGGAUGACGUCAAAUCAUCAUGCCCCUUAUGGCCUGGGCUACACACGUACUACAAUGGCUGUUACAACGUGAAGCAACACUGUGAAGUGAAGCGAAUCACUAAAAGGCAGUCUCAGUUCGGAUUGAAGUCUGCAACUCGACUUCAUGAAGUUGGAAUCGCUAGUAAUCGCGGAUCAGCAUGCCGCGGUGAAUACGUUCUCGGGCCUUGUACACACCGCCCG
Molecule: ribosomal RNA, 1119 nt
Filed under: uncultured bacterium
Lineage: Bacteria
Description: bacterial SSU rRNA
Rfam family: Bacterial small subunit ribosomal RNA
Source: RNAcentral